RNAcentral lists this ribosomal RNA (497 nucleotides) under uncultured bacterium. Its description in RNAcentral is "partial 16S ribosomal RNA". It matches the Rfam family "Bacterial small subunit ribosomal RNA", at positions 28 to 507 of the family's 1533-position model. The record is from RNAcentral.
GACGAACGCUGGCGGCGUGCCUAAUACAUGCAAGUUGAGCGCUGAAGGUUGGUACUUGUACCGACUGGAUGAGCAGCGAACGGGUGAGUAACGCGUGGGGAAUCUGCCUUUGAGCGGGGGACAACAUUUGGAAACGAAUGCUAAUACCGCAUAAAAACUUUAAACACAAGUUUUAAGUUUGAAAGAUGCAAUUGCAUCACUCAAGGAUGAUCCCGCGUUGUAUUAGCUAGUUGGUGAGGUAAAGGCUCACCAAGGCGAUGAUACAUAGCCGACCUGAGAGGGUGAUCGGCCACAUUGGGACUGAGACACGGCCCAAACUCCUACGGGAGGCAGCAGUAGGGAAUCUUCGGCAAUGGACGAAAGUCUGACCGAGCAACGCCGCGUGAGUGAAGAAGGGUUUCGGAUCGUAAAACUCUGUUGGUAGAGAAGAACGUUGGUGAGAGUGGAAAGCUCAUCAAGUGACGGUAACUACCCAGAAAGGGACGGCUAACUACGUG